AACGAACGCUGGCGGCGUGCCUAACACAUGCAAGUCGAACGAGAAAGGGGCUUCGGCUCCGAGUAAAGUGGCGCACGGGUGAGUAACACGUGGGUAACCUGCCUCUAAGAUUGGGAUAACCCGUCGAAAGAUGGACUAAUACCGGAUAAGGCCACAGUUCCUGCGGGAACAGGGGUCAAAGGUAGCCUCUGCAUGCAAGCUAUCGCUUAGAGAUGGGCCUGCGCACCAUUAGCUAGUUGGUAGGGUAACGGCCUACCAAGGCAAAGAUGGUUAGCUGGUCUGAGAGGAUGAUCAGCCACACUGGAACUGAGACACGGUCCAGACUCCUACGGGUGCAG
Molecule: ribosomal RNA, 338 nt
Filed under: uncultured Pseudomonadota bacterium
Lineage: Bacteria; Pseudomonadati; Pseudomonadota
Description: bacterial SSU rRNA
Rfam family: Bacterial small subunit ribosomal RNA
Source: RNAcentral